This is an unclassified non-coding RNA of 289 nucleotides. It matches the Rfam family "Metazoan signal recognition particle RNA". Rfam says of the family: The signal recognition particle (SRP) is a universally conserved ribonucleoprotein. The record is from Ensembl.
UAGGCACGGUUUGCGUGCCUCUAAUCCAAGUCACUGGGAGGCUGAGGUUGGCGGUUGAUUGAGCUGAGGAGCUCUGCACUGUACCGGACUAUGUUGAACGGGUGUCCAUGCUAAGUUCGCAAUAUCGAUAUGGUGGUUCUGGGGAGCCUUCUCACCAGGUCUCUCUGAGGAGAGGUGUACGGGCUCAGGUCGAAGUUGGAGCAGGUCAAAGCCCCAUUAUGCCGCAGUAGUGGGUUUGCAUUCUGAAUAGAUGUUUGCAGCCUUCAAAACAGCUUGACCUAAGAUUUUU